AUACGUAUGUCGCAAGCGUUAUCCGGAUUUAUUGGGCGUAAAGCGCGUCUAGGCGGCUUAGUAAGUCUGAUGUGAAAAUGCGGGGCUCAACCCCGUAUUGCGUUGGAAACUGCUAAACUAGAGUACUGGAGAGGUAGGCGGAACUACAAGUGUAGAGGUGAAAUUCGUAGAUAUUUGUAGGAAUGCCGAUGGGGAAGCCAGCCUACUGGACAGAUACUGACGCUAAAGUGCGAAAGCGUGGGUAGCAAACAGGAUUAGAUACCCUGGUAGUCCACGCCGUAAACGAUGAUUACUAGGUGUUGGGGGUCGAACCUCAGCGCCCAAGCUAACGCGAUAAGUAAUCCGCCUGGGGAGUACGUACGCAAGUAUGAAACUUAAAGGAAUUGGCGGGG
RNAcentral lists this ribosomal RNA (392 nucleotides) under uncultured bacterium. RNAcentral's name for it is "partial 16S ribosomal RNA". It matches the Rfam family "Bacterial small subunit ribosomal RNA", at positions 523 to 918 of the family's 1533-position model. The record is from RNAcentral.